RNA transcript from Lactuca sativa (garden lettuce), 2244 nucleotides. It is a transcript of the gene named UPF0481 protein At3g47200, with no coding region annotated. The record is from RefSeq and is a predicted model, not a curated record. NCBI's taxonomy places the organism in Eukaryota, Viridiplantae, Streptophyta, Magnoliopsida, Asterales, Asteraceae.
AAGACUUUGUUUGGGUCAACCCAAAUUUACAACCACACCAAUUUUACAUCACACAAUAGUCUUAUACACCUUAUCACCAGAAGACUCUCCUCCAAAAUUUCAUUACUCACACUCUUUUACUCUGCAAAACUGGAACUGUUUUUCUUUUGAAGAAGAUAGAAAGAAACAGAGUCUUUUGCGUCCGCUCCUCUCACACCUCUACUUAAACCCGACAACGGGAUCCGUCCGAUUGCAGUAGGCACUAUAUGGAGACGCAUGGUUUCCAAGGUUGGCAUGAAAGGUGUGGGUAAAGAAAUGGCCAAGUACAUUAAUGAUUUUCAGUUCGGGGUUGGUGUAUCCAGCGGUGCUGAGGUUAUGUUACACAUUGCCAAUAGGGUGUUGAGUGAACACCAUGCUGAUGGGUCUCUUGUAAUGCUGACUGUAGAUUUCUCGAAUGCCUUUAACCUGGUAGAUCGAUUAGCAUUGCUCCACGAGGUUAAGAAGAUGUGCCCUUCCAUUUCUUUGUGGGUGGAUUUCUUGUACGGGCAAGCAGCGAGGCUUUAUAUCAUAGACCAACAUAUAUGGUCUGCCACUGGGGUGCAGUAAGGUGACCCCUUGGGCCCUCUUCUUUUUGCCCUCGUUUUGCACCCGCUUGUACACAAGAUUAGAGACAAUUGUAAGCUCCUUCUCCAUGCUUGGUAUCUAGAUGAUGGGACUAUCAUUGGGGAUUCAGAGGAGGUGGCUAGAGUGUUGAACAUUAUUUGAUUGCAUGGUCCAAGUUUGGGUCUUGAGUUGAACAUCAAGAAAACAGAGAUUUUUUGGCCCUCCUGUGAUGGUAAGAAUCUUCGUGCCGAUUUAUUCCCAACGGACAUAUGGAGACCUCCAUUUAGGGGUGAAGCUUCUUGGGGGGGGGGGGGGGGGCUGUUAGUAGAGACGCAUGGUUUAUUAGCGGGAUGACCAUGAAGAGAGCGAUCAAUGUUGUUGAUUUGAUGGGCCUUCUUCCACAACUAUGUGACCUGCAGAGUGAGCUCCUUUUGCUUCGAUCAUGUAUGGGCAUUACAAAACAUUUCUUUGGUUUAAGCACAUGCCAGCCGAUACAUAUAGAAGAGGCAGCUUUGUUCUUUGACAAAGGAUUGCGCAGGUCUAUCGAGGAUAUGGUGGUAUGUGGAUGCCCCUUCUUUGGAGACAUUCAGUGGCGCUUGACUUCCUUACCUAUUCGUUUCGUUGGUUUGGGUUUGUACUCGGCAUACGAGGUUUCUUCCUACACAUUUGUAGCCUCGAGGGCCCAAUCUUGGGGAUUACAAGACCACAUCUUACGUGACAGUGGCGUAUGUAGUAUGGACUCGGAUUACCUAUGUGUUAUGAAUCGUCUUCGCAAUACAAUUCCGGGAUUUGACUGUAACAGUUUCACUAAUAAGCACACUGCCCCCCCUAAAUCCCAAAAAGCUUUGGCGUGUGCCCUUUUUAGCAAAAUCGUCAAAGAUAUGGAAGUCGACUUCGACAUGACUGUCAGACAUAAAGAAGUCUUUGAGUGUCUGUGGGCAUCUCAUGCUCAGGAUUUUCUGCUAACUAUCCCUAUUGAUGGUCUUGGCCAACAUAUGUCUCCUAUGCAGUACCGAACUAUCAUUCGGUACCGUUUCAUGAUUCCCAUAUUCCCAAUUGACGAGAUAUGCCUAGUUUGCCGCAAGGAAUGUUUGGAUACCUUAAGGGAACACGAGGUUCAUUGUAGAGAGCUCCCUGGUUUCAAGUACAGACAUGAUAUAUUUUGGGAUGUUCUCUUUGAUGCUUGUUGACGUCCUGGUAUUUCUAUGAAGAAAGAAGCGCUGGUGAACUAUUUGACGGACCCCGUAGGAUGGAAGGUCCACGCUUUGAAAGCCGUUGCGUGCAAAGUUGUAAAGCAUGAGAAUGCAUGUAUAGAAAAUCAACAUGUGUUUGUUCCUUUUGCAUUCAAUACAUUUGGUUUUCUCGCACCAGAAGCGGUGGAGCUCCUCAAUAGAGUCCAAUGGGUCAUGCAUUCUAAUGUCAUAUCUCCUAGAUCCACAAAUAUUAUUUUCAAAAGAAUUGGUUUUGUCAUCCAGAAAUGGCUAACGGCGCAGCUUGUUGCCCGUUUGCCUUCAAUCGAUAUGUAUUGAACUUUAAAAUUAAAAAAUAUGUGUAUAAAGAGAUUUUAAGUUUACCAUUAAAAUGUUGUUCUAUAUAUAUAUAUAUAUAUAUAUAUAUAUAUAUAUAUAUAUAUAUAUAUAUAUAUAUAUAUAUAUAUAUAUA